RNAcentral lists this ribosomal RNA (465 nucleotides) under Vreelandella stevensii. RNAcentral describes it as "partial 16S ribosomal RNA". It matches the Rfam family "Bacterial small subunit ribosomal RNA", at positions 338 to 795 of the family's 1533-position model. Lineage: Bacteria; Pseudomonadati; Pseudomonadota; Gammaproteobacteria; Oceanospirillales; Halomonadaceae. The record is from RNAcentral.
CCUACGGGGGGCUGCAGUGGGGAAUAUUGGACAAUGGGGGGAACCCUGAUCCAGCCAUGCCGCGUGUGUGAAGAAGGCCCUCGGGUUGGAAAGCACUUUCAGUGAGGAAGAACGCCUGGUGGUUAAUACCCAUCAGGAAAGACAUCACUCACAGAAGAAGCACCGGCUAACUCCGUGCCAGCAGCCGCGGUAAUACGGAGGGUGCGAGCGUUAAUCGGAAUUACUGGGCGUAAAGCGCGCGUAGGUGGCUUGAUAAGCCGGUUGUGAAAGCCCCGGGCUCAACCUGGGAACGGCAUCCGGAACUGUCAAGCUAGGGUGCAGGAGAGGAAGGUAGAAUUCCCGGUGUAGCGGUGAAAUGCGUAGAGAUCGGGAGGAAUACCAGUGGCGAAGGCGGCCUUCUGGACUGACACUGACACUGAGGUGCGAAAGCGUGGGUAGCAAACAGGAUUAGAUACCCGAGUAGUC